This 845-nucleotide ribosomal RNA is filed under the name uncultured bacterium. RNAcentral describes it as "bacterial SSU rRNA". It matches the Rfam family "Bacterial small subunit ribosomal RNA", at positions 1 to 844 of the family's 1533-position model. The record is from RNAcentral.
GGAUCAGACUUUGAUUCUGGCUCAGGACGAACGCUGGCGGCGUGCUUAACACAUGCAAGUCGAACGAGAAUCUGCGGAAAGAGGAUUCGUUCCAAUUGAAGCAGAGGACAGUGGCGGACGGGUGAGUAACGCGUGAGGAACCUGCCUUUCAGAGGGGGACAACCAGUUGGAAACGACUGCUAAUACCGCAUGACACAUUGAGGUCGCAUGGCCUUAAUGUCUAAGAUUUAUCGCUGAAAGAUGGCCUCGCGUCUGAUUAGCUAGUUGGUGAGGUAACGGCCCACCAAGGCGACGAUCAGUAGCCGGACUGAGAGGUUGAACGGCCACAUUGGGACUGAGAUACGGCCCAGACUCCUACGGGAGGCAGCAGUGGGGAAUAUUGGGCAAUGGGCGCAAGCCUGACCCAGCAACGCCGCGUGAAGGAAGAAGGCUUUCGGGUUGUAAACUUCUUUUGUCAGGGACGAGUAGAAGACGGUACCUGACGAAUAAGCCACGGCUAACUACGUGCCAGCAGCCGCGGUAAUACGUAGGUGGCAAGCGUUGUCCGGAUUUACUGGGUGUAAAGGGCGUGUAGCCCGGGAGGGCAAGUCAGAUGUGAAAUCCACGGGCUUAACUCGUGAACUGCAUUUGAAACUGUUCUUCUUGAGUAUCGGAGAGGCAAUCGGAAUUCCUAGUGUAGCGGUGAAAUGCGUAGAUAUUAGGAGGAACACCAGUGGCGAAGGCGGAUUGCUGGACGACAACUGACGGUGAGGCGCGAAAGCGUGGGGAGCAAACAGGAUUUGAUACCCUGAUAGUCCACGCUGUAAACGAUGAAUACUAGGUGUGCGGGGACUGACCCCCUGCAU